AGAUCAUGAUGAAGACAAUGUCAAAGUAAUUCUUUGUAUCUUUCCUAAGUUUCAUACAACGAUUCAAAAUCUUUCUGCAUAAAUGAUGUACUAUCAUUCCUCAUUUU
RNAcentral lists this small nucleolar RNA (107 nucleotides) under Theobroma cacao (cacao). Its description in RNAcentral is "Plant small nucleolar RNA R71". It matches the Rfam family "Plant small nucleolar RNA R71". From Rfam's summary of the family: R71 is a member of the C/D box family of snoRNAs containing the C (UGAUGA) and D (CUGA) box motifs. Lineage: Eukaryota; Viridiplantae; Streptophyta; Magnoliopsida; Malvales; Malvaceae. The record is from Rfam by way of RNAcentral.